UACAGAGGUCUCAAGCGUUGUUCGGAUUCAUUGGGCGUAAAGGGUGCGUAGGUGGCGCUGUAAGUCGGGUGUGAAAUUUCGGAGCUUAACUCCGAAACUGCAUUCGAUACUGCGGUGCUUGAGGACUGGAGAGGAGACUGGAAUUCAUGGUGUAGCAGUGAAAUGCGUAGAGAUCACGAGGAAGACCAGUGGCGAAGGCGGGUCUCUGGACAGUUCCUGACACUGAGGCACGAAGGCCAGGGGAGCAAACGGG
This 253-nucleotide ribosomal RNA is filed under the name uncultured bacterium. RNAcentral describes it as "partial 16S ribosomal RNA". It matches the Rfam family "Bacterial small subunit ribosomal RNA", at positions 524 to 776 of the family's 1533-position model. The record is from RNAcentral.